GAAGAGCCGGUUACUGAAUUUCCCUCACUUUUCUGCUCAAGCCAAAAGGCCUGCUGUUUACCUGCAAAUUAUAACAAGUAACUGAGGCCCAGAGGGAGUUCCUUCCCUGCUCUUGACUUGCUCGUGGGUUUACAUCUAAGAGAGGGGAAGGGAAGAAGAGAGGGAAACAUCAAUGCGUGGUUGCCUCUCACAUGCCCCCUACUAGGGACCUGGCCUACAACCCAGGCAUGUGCCCUGACUGGGAAUCGAACCAGUGAUCCUUUGGUUCAUAGGCUGACGCUUGACCCACUGAGCCACACUAGCCAGACCAUGAUGAAAAAAAAAGUCAUCACAGGGAAACACUUUGCUGAUGUGGAAGACAUAAAACACAAAACAACAGAAGCACUAAAAGGCAUCAAAAUCUAUGAGUUCCAAAACUCUUCUGAGCAGUGGAAAAUAACGUCUCUAUAGGUGUAUUGCAUCAAAUGGACAGUACUUUGAAGUGAAGUCCUAUGAAAUUCAGAGCAUGUACAAGUAGCUAGGAGCCUCAGCUUACUUAAUAGUCUACUUCUGGACCUCAGUGGAAUGGAUUCUCAGCUGCCCUGGCAUUUUGGAACCCCCCAGCUCUCCUCUCCUGGUCCUCAUCUGGUGAUUGCUGCUGGCCUCCAGCUCCAGCAGAGGCCUGGGGUAGACAGAAGGGUUGCUGUUACUCCGAGACAUCUCAGGGCAAGCUGUGACAACAGCCAUCCUCAUCCCAGACUGGCAGACUAUGGAGUGUUCACAGGUGACUGAUGGGUGGAAAAGAGCUUCUUAC
This is a long non-coding RNA of Artibeus jamaicensis (Jamaican fruit-eating bat), 793 nucleotides long. RefSeq lists it as uncharacterized. NCBI's taxonomy places the organism in Eukaryota, Metazoa, Chordata, Mammalia, Chiroptera, Phyllostomidae. The transcript has 5 exons. The record is from RefSeq and is a predicted model, not a curated record.